Molecule: ribosomal RNA, 508 nt
Filed under: uncultured bacterium
Lineage: Bacteria
Description: partial 16S ribosomal RNA
Rfam family: Bacterial small subunit ribosomal RNA
Source: RNAcentral
GACGAACGCUGGCGGCGCGCUUAACACAUGCAAGUCGAGCGAGAACCAGUCCUUCGGGACUGGGGAAAGCGGCGAACGGGUGAGUAUCACGUGGGUAAUCUGCCCUCGGCACUGGGAUAGCCCGGGGAAACCCGGAUUAAUACCGGAUAGCCUCUCGAGCCUUCGGGCUCGUCAGAAAAGGUUGCUUCGGCUUCCGGCUGAGGAUGAGCCCGCGGCGGAUUAGCUUGUUGGUGGGGUAAUGGCUCACCAAGGGGACGAUCCGUAGCUGGUCUGAGAGGACGAUCAGCCACACUGGGACUGAGACACGGCCCAGACUCCUACGGGAGGCAGCAGUGGGGAAUCUUGCGCAAUGGGCGAAAGCCUGACGCAGCGACGCCGCGUGCGGGAAGAAGGCCUUCGGGUUGUAAACCGCUUUCAGGAGGGACGAAGCCACUCGGGUUAAUAGCCCAGAGGGUGACGGUACCUCCAGAAGAAGCCCCGGCUAACUACGUGCCAGCAGCCGCCGUAA